This 375-nucleotide ribosomal RNA is filed under the name uncultured organism. RNAcentral describes it as "partial 16S ribosomal RNA". It matches the Rfam family "Bacterial small subunit ribosomal RNA", at positions 527 to 896 of the family's 1533-position model. The record is from RNAcentral.
GUAGGUGGCAAGCGUUGUCCGGAAUUAUUGGGCGUAAAGCGCGCGCAGGCGGUUCUUUAAGUCUGAUGUGAAAGCCCACGGCUCAACCGUGGAGGGUCAUUGGAAACUGGAGAACUUGAGUACAGAAGAGGAAAGCGGAAUUCCACGUGUAGCGGUGAAAUGCGUAGAGAUGUGGAGGAACACCAGUGGCGAAGGCGGCUUUUCUGGUCUGUAACUGACGCUGAGGCGCGAAAGCGUGGGGAGCAAACAGGGAUUAGAUACCCUGGUAGUCCACGCCGUAAACGAUGAGUGCUAAGUGUUAGGGGGGUUUCCGCCCCCUUAGUGCUGCAGCUAACGCAUUAAGCACUCCGCCUGGGGAUACGGCCGCGAAGGCUG